Molecule: ribosomal RNA, 424 nt
Filed under: uncultured bacterium
Lineage: Bacteria
Description: bacterial SSU rRNA
Rfam family: Bacterial small subunit ribosomal RNA
Source: RNAcentral
GGAAUUUUGGACAAUGGGCGCAAGCCUGAUCCAGCCAUGCCGCGUGCGGGAAGAAGGCCUUCGGGUUGUAAACCGCUUUUGUCAGGGAAGAAACGGUUUGGGCUAAUACCCCGAACUAAUGACGGUACCUGAAGAAUAAGCACCGGCUAACUACGUGCCAGCAGCCGCGGUAAUACGUAGGGUGCAAGCGUUAAUCGGAAUUACUGGGCGUAAAGCGUGCGCAGGCGGCUUUGCAAGACAGAUGUGAAAUCCCCGGGCUCAACCUGGGAACUGCAUUUGUGACUGCAAGGCUGGAGUGCGGCAGAGGGGGAUGGAAUUCCGCGUGUAGCAGUGAAAUGCGUAGAUAUGCGGAGGAACACCGAUGGCGAAGGCAAUCCCCUGGGCCUGCACUGACGCUCAGCACGAAAGCGUGGGGAGCAAACAG